CCUGGGCGAAAACAUCACAUCGCAACCCCGAUUAAAAAAUAUUAGUUCGGUUACGAUUAUAGCCGUACGGUCUGUUGCGAUUAAUAUUGUACGGUCGCGGUACAAUUUUCGCUUGUGGUUUUACGCGCGGCAAACGGUUAGGUUUUUUUCUUCUUGUUUUAAACCGCAGCGUUUUAGAUUCUGAGCAUACAUAUCGUGUAACUCGUUGGUUAUAUC
This is a non-coding RNA of Cinara cedri, 216 nucleotides long. The record is from the annotation of a GenBank genome assembly. NCBI's taxonomy places the organism in Eukaryota, Metazoa, Arthropoda, Insecta, Hemiptera, Aphididae.